GCGGAGUAGUCCUCUGACUAGGUAUUACACGCCAGCUAGCGGGCAACUUCGGACUACGGAUCAGAAGGUUGCAGGUUCGAAUCCUGCCGGGCGCGCCA
This 98-nucleotide transfer RNA is filed under the name Microlunatus parietis. RNAcentral's name for it is "tRNA-Arg". The record is from RNAcentral. Lineage: Bacteria; Bacillati; Actinomycetota; Actinomycetes; Propionibacteriales; Propionibacteriaceae.